RNAcentral lists this ribosomal RNA (369 nucleotides) under uncultured eukaryote. RNAcentral describes it as "SSU rRNA". It matches the Rfam family "Eukaryotic small subunit ribosomal RNA", at positions 587 to 972 of the family's 1831-position model. The record is from RNAcentral.
AGCUCCAAUAGCGUAUAUUAAAGUUGUUGCAGUUAAAAAGCUCGUAGUUGAAUGUCUGGUUGUCGGGGGUUUCGGCUUCGGUCGUGCAACCGGCGGUCAUCCGCAUACGAAAUUAGUUCGGCCUUUACUGGUUCGGCUGAGGGAGUGUGCAUUUUACUUUGAAAAAAUUAGAGUGUUUCAGGCAGGCAAUCGUUUGAAUACAUUAGCAUGGAAUAAUGGAAUAUGACCUUGGUCAAUUUUGUUGGUUAUUUGACUUCGGUAAUGAUUAACAGGAACAGUUGGGGGCAUUAGUAUUUAAUUGUCAGAGGUGAAAUUCUUGGAUUUAUUAAAGACUAACUUAUGCGAAAGCAUUUGCCAAGGAUGUUUUCA